This 292-nucleotide ribosomal RNA is filed under the name uncultured bacterium. Its description in RNAcentral is "partial 16S ribosomal RNA". It matches the Rfam family "Bacterial small subunit ribosomal RNA", at positions 505 to 796 of the family's 1533-position model. The record is from RNAcentral.
GUGCCAGCCGCCGCGGUAAAACGUAGGAGGCAAGCGUUAUCCGGAUUCACUGGGCGUAAAGCGCGUGUAGGUGGUUCGUUAAGUCGCUGGUGAAAGCCCCUGGCUCAACUGGGGGAGGUCUGGCGAAACUGGCGGACUUGAGGGUCCGAGAGGAAGGUGGAAUUCCCGGUGUAGCGGUGGAAUGCGUAGAGAUCGGGAGGAACACCAGUGGCGAAGGCGGCCUUCUGGCGGGCUUCUGACACUGAGACGCGAAAGCGUGGGGAGCAAACGGGAUUAGAUACCCCCGUAGUCC